RNAcentral lists this long non-coding RNA (1065 nucleotides) under Scleropages formosus (Asian bonytongue). RNAcentral describes it as "lncRNA (ENSSFOG00015025892.1)". Lineage: Eukaryota; Metazoa; Chordata; Actinopteri; Osteoglossiformes; Osteoglossidae. The record is from RNAcentral.
AUGAGUCCGUUUGCCGCCGCCUUCAUCCAGCCGAUGAGCUCACGAAGCUCUGAUUCAGGCCAGCAAGGACCCGACACGCACGUCGCUCCACUCUGGCGCCACCUGCUGGCAGGAGCGGCCCGCCAGGAGCUCCAGGCUCCUCCUGCAUCCAUCCACCUUCCGCUCCGUGCUGCGCGCCGUGUCGCGCCGUCCUCUGCAGAGUCUGGAGACGGGAGCGGCACGAGCGCAGAAGAGCGGAGCGCAUCGUUGAAGAGUCAUCGGUGCAGGAGGAGCAGGACGGAGGAAAGAAAGAGGCGCUCAUCGUCGUCAUCCGCGUCGUCCUCUUCAUGUGAGCCCCACCGGUCAGUCGCAACGAGUCAGCGAAUGAAUCAUGAUUCAUUUCAUGUGGGUGAUGCUCAGUGCUCCUGGUGCUCAGUGCUCCUGGUGCUCAGUGCUCACGGUCACCGACGUCGUUAUAUUAGCCGAUGUGAUGUGUGGUUUUUGCGCUCCGAGCCUCGAGCCUCGAGCCUCUGCUCUCUUCUGUCAUCAUCUCCGUCACGGAUUCUCUCCGGCGCAGCAUCACCUGUGCGAAAACAAACGAAGCGGUCGUGCGCGCGCACGUGUGUGUGUGUGUGUGUGUGUGUGUGUGUGUGUGUGUGUGUGUGUGUGUGUGUGUGUGUGUGUGUGUGGGAGGGAGAGGCGGCAAUGAGCUCCCGUACACACUCAUUUAUUGUUCCAGACGCGCGCAGAGGAGCUGUCCAUCAUGUGGAACGGAACAAAUGUUACAUUAUUAUCGUUUCCUUCUUCCUUUUCAUUUACUGCUUAACUGACCUGUCGACUCAGAGUGAAGUGUGUUCACAUGAUUUACUGCUAUACCCGUGUGCGUGCACGCGCACACACACACACACACACACACACACACACACACACACACACACACACACACACACACACACACACACCUGUGCUCCGCGCGGUUUCUCUGCUGUGUGUCGAAUGUUCGGUCUGAUUCCUCUGUGUGUUUUACAUGUAUCAUCCGCAUCUGCGUCACGUGUGUGUCUGCGGCACGGGAACAAACAGGUGUGA